GCCAGGUGUUCUUAGGUAUUUGCUUGAAACCGGGAUUCCUAAUCCAGGUGUCGCGCGUUCGAUUCGCGCCGUGGGCACCA
Molecule: transfer RNA, 80 nt
Filed under: Chlorobium sp.
Lineage: Bacteria; Pseudomonadati; Chlorobiota; Chlorobiia; Chlorobiales; Chlorobiaceae
Description: tRNA-Arg
Source: RNAcentral